AUUGAACGCUGGCGGCAUGCUUUACACAUGCAAGUCGAACGGUAACAGGCCUUCGGGUGCUGACGAGUGGCGAACGGGUGAGUAAUGCAUCGGAACGUACCCAGAGGUGGGGGAUAACGCAGCGAAAGCUGUGCUAAUACCGCAUGUGAUCUGAGGAUGAAAGCGGGGGACCGAGCAGCAAUGUUUGGCCUCGCGCCUUUGGAGCGGCCGAUGUCGGAUUAGCUAGUUGGUGGGGUAAAGGCCUACCAAGGCGACGAUCCGUAGCUGGUCUGAGAGGACGACCAGCCACACUGGGACUGAGACACGGCCCAGACGCCUACGGGAGGCAGCAGUGGGGAAUGUUGGACAAUGGGCGCAAGCCUGAUCCAGCAAUGCCGCGUGCGGGAAGAAGGCCUUCGGGUUGUAAACCGCUUUUGGCAGGAACGAAACGGUGUCCGCUAAUACCGGGCGCUAAUGACGGUACCUGCAGAAUAAGCACCGGCUAACUACGUG
This 492-nucleotide ribosomal RNA is filed under the name uncultured bacterium. RNAcentral's name for it is "partial 16S ribosomal RNA". It matches the Rfam family "Bacterial small subunit ribosomal RNA", at positions 29 to 507 of the family's 1533-position model. The record is from RNAcentral.